AUUGAACGCUGGCGGCAUGCCUAACACAUGCAAGUCGAACGGUAACAGGCCCGCAAGGGUGCUGAUGAGUGGCAGACGGGUGAGUAAUACGUAGGAAUCUGCCCUGUAGUGGGGGAUAGCCCGGCGAAAGCCGGAUUAAUACCGCAUACGCUCUACGGAGGAAAGCGGGGGAUCGCAAGACCUCGCGCUAUUGGAUGAGCCUACGUCUGAUUAACUAGUUGGUAGGGUAACGGCCUACCAAGGCGACGAUCAGUAGCUGGUCUGAGAGGAUGAUCAGCCACACCGGAACUGAGACACGGUCCGGACUCCUACGGGAGGCAGCAGUGGGGAAUAUUGGACAAUGGGGGAAACCCUGAUCCAGCAAUGCCGCGUGUGUGAAGAAGGCCUGCGGGUUGUAAAGCACUUUUGUUGGGAAAGAAAAGCCGUCGGCGAAUAUCCGGCGGUCUUGACGGUACCCAAAGAAUAAGCACCGGCUAACUCCGUAGCCAGCAGCCGCGGUAAUACGGGA
Molecule: ribosomal RNA, 508 nt
Filed under: uncultured bacterium
Lineage: Bacteria
Description: bacterial SSU rRNA
Rfam family: Bacterial small subunit ribosomal RNA
Source: RNAcentral